Mauremys reevesii (Reeves's turtle) is the source of this 783-nucleotide long non-coding RNA. RefSeq lists it as uncharacterized. NCBI's taxonomy places the organism in Eukaryota, Metazoa, Chordata, Testudines, Geoemydidae. The record is from RefSeq and is a predicted model, not a curated record. The transcript has 4 exons.
GUCCCAUGGAGGUAGGCCUAGAUGUGACACUGACCUGCCUUUCUCCCUACUGCCCAGUUGAGAGCUAAAAAUCCUGAGUCCCACUGGCAUGGCCAGGACCCAGCUCCCCUGGCCUGGGCCAUUGCAGAAUAGCCACUGCCCUGUAUCUAGCUCAGAAGAGAGGCUAAGUGGCCUGAGCACAUGAACUCCUGAAUUCUAGUCAUGCCUCUAAUAAUUAUGCCUUUGUGAACUUGGAUUGAGCAAUGGAAAUCAUUUAGAGUGACUGCUCUGUUCUUGCGUAACUGCGAAUCAGCCAAUGUGCCACUGUAGCCUGUGGCAGCCAGGAUCAAUCAGGAUCUCAGCAGAGAAGUGUGUUGCUUUGAGAGAGCUCUUCACAGGGUGGACUCUUCUUACUUUGUUAGGGCGGUUGUCUGCAUCUUCAGCCAUUGGUUUUGAACUCUAUUUCAUCAGAACAGGCUGAUGCUGGAGGUUGAUUCCAUCAUCCAUACAUACUUCAUUCACACAUCUAACCUAAACUAAUAAGAUUACAGAAGGGUUUGCAAAAAUGAAGGUUGCAGCAAGCUUUUACAAAAUGAAGUAAGCGUUUUAAAAUGGGGUUUGAAUUACAAUAUGGCAAACCGUGAACAGAAGUAGCCAAGUGAAGUGAAUGGCAAACAGUGAACAAAAGUUACAAUACUGAAACAGUGCAAGUCUCAGUGAUGUAAGCAGGAAUUGGAUUGACAGUGAAAUUUACAAGGGCAACUGGCUGAAGGCUGUAGCUCUUAACAAGCAUCUUAAUUGUCA